RNAcentral lists this ribosomal RNA (274 nucleotides) under uncultured prokaryote. Its description in RNAcentral is "partial 16S ribosomal RNA". It matches the Rfam family "Bacterial small subunit ribosomal RNA", at positions 526 to 800 of the family's 1533-position model. The record is from RNAcentral.
CGUAGGGGGCUAGCGUUAUCCGGAAUUACUGGGCGUAAAGGGUGCGUAGGCGGUCUUUCAAGCCAGAAGUGAAAGGCUACGGCUCAACCGUAGUAAGCUUUUGGAACUGUAAGACUUGAGUGCAGGAGAGGAGAGUGGAAUUCCUAGUGUAGCGGUGAAAUGCGUAGAUAUUAGGAGGAACACCAGUGGCGAAGGCGGCUUUCUGGACUGUAACUGACACUGAGGCACGAAAGCGUGGGGAGCAAACAGGAUUAGAUACCCUGGUAGUCCCUGA